RNAcentral lists this unclassified non-coding RNA (250 nucleotides) under uncultured fungus. RNAcentral describes it as "sequence contains ITS1, 5.8S rRNA gene". The stretch from base 202 to 250 matches the Rfam family "5.8S ribosomal RNA", at positions 1 to 49 of the family's 154-position model. The record is from RNAcentral. Lineage: Eukaryota; Fungi.
UCUCCGUUGGUGAACCAGCGGAGGGAUCAUUAUAGAGUUUUAUAACUCCCAACCCUUUGUGAACUUACCUUUGUUGCCUCGGCGGGGCCUACCCGGUACCGACCCCUUUUGGGCGAAGUUACCCUGUAGCCCGCCGGCGGCCCCUACCAAACCUCUUGUUUUUACAGUGUCUCCUCUGAGUUACAAACACAAAUGAAUCAAAACUUUCAACAACGGAUCUCUUGGUUCUGGCAUCGAUGAAGAACGCAGC